GUGAUUGCCCUCGGGCGUUAAACUAUAUCCAUAACACCUGUGAACCGUUUGAUUGACCUUAACGGGUUGAUUUUACAAACAUUGUGUAAUGAACGUAAUUUUAUUAUAACAAAUA
This 115-nucleotide unclassified non-coding RNA is filed under the name uncultured Tremellales. Its description in RNAcentral is "sequence contains ITS1". The record is from RNAcentral. Lineage: Eukaryota; Fungi; Basidiomycota; Tremellomycetes; Tremellales.